UGAUUUUUGAUGCAGCCCCAG
Molecule: microRNA, 21 nt
Filed under: Monodelphis domestica (gray short-tailed opossum)
Lineage: Eukaryota; Metazoa; Chordata; Mammalia; Didelphimorphia; Didelphidae
Description: mdo-miR-12343-3p
Source: miRBase by way of RNAcentral